Molecule: long non-coding RNA, 1105 nt
Filed under: Anser brachyrhynchus (Pink-footed goose)
Lineage: Eukaryota; Metazoa; Chordata; Aves; Anseriformes; Anatidae
Description: lncRNA (ENSABRG00000020636.1)
Source: RNAcentral
AUGAUCUGGGAGGUCUUUGCCAACCUGAAUGAUUCUAUGAUUCUACGUAACACAGCCAAGAUUCUGUGUAAUACAGCCAAGGAGGUACCUGCUGUGAGGACACCUCUCCAUGGAGGGACCGAGGGAGCCCCCCGGUUACCUCAGACCGCGCUGAGGCGAGGCCCCGGCGCCUCCCAGGGGGGAGCCUCCCCUCAGCGCUCCGGCUUCGGGCCGCCCGCCUCAGCAACAGGUCUGUGCCGGGGGCGGAGAAGGGGGCUGUGUGUGUGUGUGGGGGGGACCCCGCUUCUCCCCGCGGCGUGCCAGGCCACCAAGCGGCGUGCCAGGCGAACAAAGGGGCCGAGCGCGGAGCGGGCUCCCGCCUUCAGCCAUUUGCAGCGCCCCGCCGCUCCCCACCCCCUUCCUCCCCCUUCCCCGCCGGCGCAGGCUCCGGCUCGCCACGGAGCCGCCGCCGCCACCACCACCGCCAGCACCGCCACCACUACGGCGGGCCCGAGGUGGGGCCGGGCCGGCUGCGGGCUGUGGGCUGCGGGGCGGGGCGGGAGGCGGGCGGGCAGCCCUGCGGGAGCCCUGCCGGGAGCGCCGCGCCGCUCGCCGCCCGUCUCCGCGCUGCCGCAAGGUGGAGUGCAUAUAAGGAGCAGUGAGAUGAAGAAACCUCUGUGAUGUUCAUGCCAAGGAGACUUUGGCUAGUGGGGAAUCUCCUUCCAGAACAGAUUGCAACCACUCUCUUCCCCUGAAAUAGCUGCACACGGUGAACAAGCGAUGAUAGUACUCCUAACUCUCUGACUUCAGAGGACAUUUCUUCCUCAUUGCCCAGCACAGUGUGGGACCGGUUGUCACAAAAGGAUGCCGCGCAUAAAAACUGCUUAGCAUUUUCAUAUAAUAACAGGAAAACCAGAACAGCUUCUCAGGCUAUCGAGGUGCAAUAUCCACACCGGGAAGAGGUUUAGGUUUUCACCGACAGCAUCUGACAGGGGAGAAGGAAGCCGGUGCAGGCUGGGCCGUGGAGGCUCAGUGCUCUGUGCUGUUCCCCGCAGGUGAUGGGCGUAGCGGUGCGGCCGAGAGCCGUCCUGUGCGGCACUGCGCAGGGCCGGAGCAGCUAGCCUGG